RNAcentral lists this transfer RNA (50 nucleotides) under Thunbergia alata (black-eyed Susan vine). Its description in RNAcentral is "partial tRNA-Leu". The record is from RNAcentral. Lineage: Eukaryota; Viridiplantae; Streptophyta; Magnoliopsida; Lamiales; Acanthaceae.
AGAGGGACUUGAACCCUCACGAUUUUGAAAGUCGACGGAUUUUCCUCUUA